This 497-nucleotide ribosomal RNA is filed under the name uncultured bacterium. Its description in RNAcentral is "partial 16S ribosomal RNA". It matches the Rfam family "Bacterial small subunit ribosomal RNA", at positions 28 to 507 of the family's 1533-position model. The record is from RNAcentral.
GACGAACGCUGGCGGCGUGCCUAAUACAUGCAAGUAGAACGCUGAAGAGAGGAGCUUGCUCUUCUUGGAUGAGUUGCGAACGGGUGAGUAACGCGUAGGUAACCUGCCUGGUAGCGGGGGAUAACUAUUGGAAACGAUAGCUAAUACCGCAUAAAAUUGAUUAUUGCAUGAUAAUUAAUUGAAAGAUGCAACUGCAUUCCUACCAGAAGGACCUGCGUUGUAUUAACUAGUUGGUGAGGUAACGGCCCACCAAGGCGACGGAACAUAGCCGGCCUGAGGAGGUGAUCGGCCAAACUGGGACCUGGAACACGCUCAGACCCCUACGGGGAGGAGCAAGAGGGGAACCUCGGGAAAGGGGGGAACGCUGACCGGGGAAAGCCGCGUAAGGGAAGGAGGUUUUCGGAUCGUAAAGCUCUGUUGUAAGGGAAGGACGGGUGUUGGAGUGGAAAGUUCACACUGUGACGGUAUCUUACCAGAAAGCGACGGCUAACUACGUG